Molecule: ribosomal RNA, 765 nt
Filed under: uncultured Streptococcus sp.
Lineage: Bacteria; Bacillati; Bacillota; Bacilli; Lactobacillales; Streptococcaceae
Description: bacterial SSU rRNA
Rfam family: Bacterial small subunit ribosomal RNA
Source: RNAcentral
GAUGAACGCUGGCGGCGUGCCUAAUACAUGCAAGUAGAACGCUGAAGCUUGGUGCUUGCACCGAGCGGAUGAGUUGCGAACGGGUGAGUAACGCGUAGGUAACCUGCCUGGUAGCGGGGGAUAACUAUUGGAAACGAUAGCUAAUACCGCAUAACAGUAGAUAUUGCAUGAUAUCUGCUUGAAAGGGGCAAUUGCUCCACUACCAGAUGGACCUGCGUUGUAUUAGCUAGUUGGUGAGGUAACGGCUCACCAAGGCGACGAUACAUAGCCGACCUGAGAGGGUGAUCGGCCACACUGGGACUGAGACACGGCCCAGACUCCUACGGGAGGCAGCAGUAGGGAAUCUUCGGCAAUGGACGGAAGUCUGACCGAGCAACGCCGCGUGAGUGAAGAAGGUUUUCGGAUCGUAAAGCUCUGUUGUAAGAGAAGAACGAGUGUGAGAGUGGAAAGUUCACACUGUGACGGUAUCUUACCAGAAAGGGACGGCUAACUACGUGCCAGCAGCCGCGGUAAUACGUAGGUCCCGAGCGUUAUCCGGAUUUAUUGGGCGUAAAGCGAGCGCAGGCGGUUAGAUAAGUCUGAAGUUAAAGGCUGUGGCUUAACCAUAGUACGCUUUGGAAACUGUUUAACUUGAGUGCAAGAGGGGAGAGUGGAAUUCCAUGUGUAGCGGUGAAAUGCGUAGAUAUAUGGAGGAACACCGGUGGCGAAAGCGGCUCUCUGGCUUGUAACUGACGCUGAGGCUCGAAAGCGUGGGGAGCAAACAGG